Non-coding RNA from Aedes aegypti (yellow fever mosquito), 47 nucleotides. The record is from Rfam. Lineage: Eukaryota; Metazoa; Arthropoda; Insecta; Diptera; Culicidae.
UGAUCGGCCCUUUUCAGAGCCAACAAAUGUAUACUAAAGAGUUAUUU